RNAcentral lists this ribosomal RNA (465 nucleotides) under Vreelandella stevensii. Its description in RNAcentral is "partial 16S ribosomal RNA". It matches the Rfam family "Bacterial small subunit ribosomal RNA", at positions 338 to 795 of the family's 1533-position model. Lineage: Bacteria; Pseudomonadati; Pseudomonadota; Gammaproteobacteria; Oceanospirillales; Halomonadaceae. The record is from RNAcentral.
CCUACGGGAGGCUGCAGUGGGGAAUAUUGGACAAUGGGGGCAACCCUGAUCCAGCCAUGCCGCGUGUGUGAAGAAGGCCCUCGGGUUGUAAAGCACUUUCAGUGAGGAAGAACGCCUGGUGGUUAAUACCCAUCAGGAAAGACAUCACUCACAGAAGAAGCACCGGCUAACUCCGUGCCAGCAGCCGCGGUAAUACGGAGGGUGCGAGCGUUAAUCGGAAUUACUGGGCGUAAAGCGCGCGUAGGUGGCUUGAUAAGCCGGUUGUGAAAGCCCCGGGCUCAACCUGGGAACGGCAUCCGGAACUGUCAAGCUAGAGUGCAGGAGAGGAAGGUAGAAGUCCCGGUGUAGCGGUGAAAUGCGUAGAGAUCGGGAGGAAUACCAGUGGCGAAGGCGGCCUUCUGGACUGACACUGACACUGAGGUGCGAAAGCGUGGGUAGCAAACGGGAUUAGAUACCCGAGUAGUC